CCUACGGGUGGCUGCAGUGGGGAAUAUUGGACAAUGGGGGGAACCCUGAUCCAGCCAUGCCGCGUGUGUGAAGAAGGCCCUCGGGUUGUAAAGCACUUUCAGUGAGGAAGAACGCCUGGUGGUUAAUACCCAUCAGGAAAGACAUCACUCACAGAAGAAGCACCGUCUAACUCCGUGCCAGCAGCCGCGGUAAUACGGAGGGUGCGAGCGGUAAUCGGAAUUACUGGGCGUAAAGCGCGCGUAGGUGGCUUGAUAAGCCGGUUGUGAAAGCCCCGGGCUCAACCUGGGAACGGCAUCCGGAACUGUCAAGCUAGAGUGCAGGAGAGGAAGGUAGAAUUCCCGGUGUAGCGGUGAAAUGCGUAGAGAUCGGGAGGAAUACCAGUGGCGAAGGCGGCCUUCUGGACUGACACUGACACUGAGGUGCGAAAGCGUGGGUAGCAAACAGGAUUAGAUACCCUAGUAGUC
This 465-nucleotide ribosomal RNA is filed under the name Vreelandella stevensii. RNAcentral's name for it is "partial 16S ribosomal RNA". It matches the Rfam family "Bacterial small subunit ribosomal RNA", at positions 338 to 795 of the family's 1533-position model. Lineage: Bacteria; Pseudomonadati; Pseudomonadota; Gammaproteobacteria; Oceanospirillales; Halomonadaceae. The record is from RNAcentral.